Molecule: ribosomal RNA, 253 nt
Filed under: uncultured bacterium
Lineage: Bacteria
Description: partial 16S ribosomal RNA
Rfam family: Bacterial small subunit ribosomal RNA
Source: RNAcentral
UACGAAGGGGGCUAGCGUUGUUCGGAAUCACUGGGCGUAAAGGGCGCGUAGGCGGGCUCUUAAGUCGAGGGUGAAAUCCUGUGGCUCAACCACAGAACAGCCUUCGAUACUGGGAGCCUCGAGUUCGAGAGAGGUUGGUGGAACUGCGAGUGUAGAGGUGAAAUUCGUAGAUAUUCGCAAGAACACCAGUGGCGAAGGCGGCCAACUGGCUCGAUACUGACGCUGAGGCGCGAAAGCGUGGGGAGCAAACAGG